GUCUUUGUGGUGUAGUGGUCAGCACGCUCGACUUGUAUUCGAGAGGUUCGAAUUCCGGCGAAGGCA
Molecule: transfer RNA, 66 nt
Filed under: Stegodyphus mimosarum
Lineage: Eukaryota; Metazoa; Arthropoda; Arachnida; Araneae; Eresidae
Rfam family: tRNA
About the family: Transfer RNA (tRNA) molecules are approximately 80 nucleotides in length. Their secondary structure includes four short double-helical elements and three loops (D, anti-codon, and T loops). Further hydrogen bonds mediate the characteristic L-shaped molecular structure. tRNAs have two regions of fundamental functional importance: the anti-codon, which is responsible for specific mRNA codon recognition, and the 3' end, to which the tRNAs corresponding amino acid is attached (by aminoacyl-tRNA synthetases). tRNAs cope with the degeneracy of the genetic code in two manners: having more than one tRNA (with a specific anti-codon) for a particular amino acid; and 'wobble' base-pairing, i.e. permitting non-standard base-pairing at the 3rd anti-codon position.
Source: Rfam by way of RNAcentral